Molecule: ribosomal RNA, 1430 nt
Filed under: uncultured organism
Description: SSU rRNA
Rfam family: Bacterial small subunit ribosomal RNA
Source: RNAcentral
AUGAUGAACGCUAGCGACAGGCUUAACACAUGCAAGUCGAGGGGCAGCGGGGGUAGCGAUACCCGCCGGCGACCGGCGCACGGGUGAGUAACGCGUAUGCAACUUGCCUAUCAGAGGGGGAUAACCCGGCGAAAGUCGGACUAAUACCGCAUGAAGCAGGGGCCCCGCAUGGGGAUAUUUGCUAAAGAUUCAUCGCUGAUAGAUAGGCAUGCGUUCCAUUAGGCAGUUGGCGGGGUAACGGCCCACCAAACCGACGAUGGAUAGGGGUUCUGAGAGGAAGGUCCCCCACAUUGGUACUGAGACACGGACCAAACUCCUACGGGAGGCAGCAGUGAGGAAUAUUGGUCAAUGGCCGAGAGGCUGAACCAGCCAAGUCGCGUGAGGGAUGAAGGUUCUAUGGAUCGUAAACCUCUUUUAUAAGGGAAUAAAGUGCGGGACGUGUCCCGUUUUGUAUGUACCUUAUGAAUAAGGAUCGGCUAACUCCGUGCCAGCAGCCGCGGUAAUACGGAGGAUCCGAGCGUUAUCCGGAUUUAUUGGGUUUAAAGGGUGCGUAGGCGGCCUUUUAAGUCAGCGGUGAAAGUCUGUGGCUCAACCAUAGAAUUGCCGUUGAAACUGGGGGGCUUGAGUAUGUUUGAGGCAGGCGGAAUGCGUGGUGUAGCGGUGAAAUGCAUAGAUAUCACGCAGAACCCCGAUUGCGAAGGCAGCCUGCCAAGCCAUUACUGACGCUGAUGCACGAAAGCGUGGGGAUCAAACAGGAUUAGAUACCCUGGUAGUCCACGCAGUAAACGAUGAUCACUAGCUGUUUGCGAUACACUGUAAGCGGCACAGCGAAAGCGUUAAGUGAUCCACCUGGGGAGUACGCCGGCAACGGUGAAACUCAAAGGAAUUGACGGGGGCCCGCACAAGCGGAGGAACAUGUGGUUUAAUUCGAUGAUACGCGAGGAACCUUACCCGGGUUUGAACGCAUUCGGACCGAGGUGGAAACACCUUUUCUAGCAAUAGCCGUUUGCGAGGUGCUGCAUGGUUGUCGUCAGCUCGUGCCGUGAGGUGUCGGCUUAAGUGCCAUAACGAGCGCAACCCUUGCCACUAGUUACUAACAGGUAAAGCUGAGGACUCUGGUGGGACUGCCAGCGUAAGCUGCGAGGAAGGCGGGGAUGACGUCAAAUCAGCACGGCCCUUACAUCCGGGGCGACACACGUGUUACAAUGGCGUGGACAAAGGGAGGCCACCUGGCGACAGGGAGCGAAUCCCCAAACCACGUCUCAGUUCGGAUCGGAGUCUGCAACCCGACUCCGUGAAGCUGGAUUCGCUAGUAAUCGCGCAUCAGCCAUGGCGCGGUGAAUACGUUCCCGGGCCUUGUACACACCGCCCGUCAAGCCAUGGGAGCCGGGGGUACAUGAAGUCCGUAACCGAAAGGAUCGGCCUAGGGU